GUGAACGCUGGCGGUAGGCCUAACACAUGCAAGUCGAACGGCAGCACAGGAGAGCUUGCUCUCUGGGUGGCGAGUGGCGGACGGGUGAGGAAUACAUCGGAAUCUGCCCAGUCGUGGGGGAUAACGUAGGGAAACUUACGCUAAUACCGCAUACGACCUUCGGGUGAAAGAGGGGGAUCGCAAGACCUCUCGCGAUUGGAUGAGCCGAUGUCGGAUUAGCUAGUUGGCGGGGUAAUGGCCCACCAAGGCGACGAUCCGUAGCUGGUCUGAGAGGAUGAUCACCCACAGUGGAAGGGAGACGCGGCCCAGCCUCCUACGGGAGGCGGCAGAGGGGAAUAUUGGACAAGGGGCGCAAGCCUGACCCAGCAAUCCCGGGUGGGAGAAGAAGGCUUUGGGGUUGUAAGGCCUUUUUGUGGGAAAAAAAAUUUUUCAGCCUAAUACCGUGGGAGAAUGACGGUACCCAAAAAAAAAGCCCCGGCUAACUUCGUG
RNAcentral lists this ribosomal RNA (489 nucleotides) under uncultured bacterium. RNAcentral describes it as "partial 16S ribosomal RNA". It matches the Rfam family "Bacterial small subunit ribosomal RNA", at positions 29 to 507 of the family's 1533-position model. The record is from RNAcentral.